This 348-nucleotide unclassified non-coding RNA is filed under the name soil metagenome. RNAcentral's name for it is "partial contains 5.8S ribosomal RNA, internal transcribed spacer 2, and large subunit ribosomal RNA". The stretch from base 1 to 120 matches the Rfam family "5.8S ribosomal RNA", at positions 35 to 154 of the family's 154-position model. The record is from RNAcentral.
GAUGAAGAACGUAGCGAAAUGCGAUAAGUAAUGUGAAUUGCAGAAUUCAGUGAAUCAUCGAGUCUUUGAACGCACAUUGCGCCCCCUGGUAUUCCGGGGGACAUGCCUGUCCGAGCGUCAUUGCCGCCCUCAAGCACGGCUUGUGUGUUGGGCCCCCGCCCCCCGGCUUCGGGGGGCGGGCCCGAAAGGCAGCGGCGGCACCGCGUCCGGUCCUCGAGCGUAUGGGGCUUCGUCACCCGCUCUGUAGGCCCGGCCGGCGCCCGCCGGCGACCCCAAUCAAUCUUUCCAGGUUGACCUCGGAUCAGGUAGGGAUACCCGCUGAACUUAAGCAUAUCAAUAAGCGGAGGA